GUGAGUAAACCUGACUGACGGGUUUUAAGGAGCUCUGGAAAUAAGGGACUGGUUAAGCUCUUCAUCCACCCUUUCUUGUUUCAUCCUCAUGACAUCUACAUGAAAAGCGUCAUGCCCAGCAAAUGAGGCCCAUCUCCAUGGCAACUGUGCAGGUCUGGGCACCUGCAGUGUUCCAGAAUCUCCUCAGCAGCAGUAAAGGAAACCUCAAAAAACAAAGACAAAACACUGCCCUUUGGGAGAAGCAUUAGCUCACUGUAUCUGCACCCCAAAUUCCUCAAGGAGUAACUCCUCUCCUUGCCUUUAAACUCUUUGAUCUC
Molecule: long non-coding RNA, 317 nt
Filed under: Heterocephalus glaber (naked mole-rat)
Lineage: Eukaryota; Metazoa; Chordata; Mammalia; Rodentia; Bathyergidae
Description: lncRNA (ENSHGLG00100039514.1)
Source: RNAcentral